AAUUCAGAUUUACACUUUCCCUAUGUAUUAGCACGAAAUGUUUCAGGCAUACUGAACUCAACUGAGUCCUGACUAGUAGUGGAAGGUACUAAAAUAAAGAGCUGCGUAUGGUAGAUUCUCACAUUAUUACAACAGUGUCAUCUAACAACUCUUCCCUUAAAACUUCGUCCCGGGCUACUGCCUGAGUCAUAAGUCAACAUACAGUAUGGUCUUCAGUCUGUUAGGCAACUUCUCCAGAACAGGAUGUGGUUCUUCCUUGAGGUGACAGGUUACGUACUGCAAGUUUUUUCAUGUCUAUUGAAAACAUCUCAUUUGCUGCCAAGCUAUAUGUAAGGAAAAGAAGCCCAGUCUGCCCUCAGAGGCUCCUUGGAGACUGAAACCAGAGAAUGGCCGGACAUACACACACUAUGAAAAGUCUAAAUUAAACAAUGGCUUUACAAGAGCACCUUCCCAUGUGACUUUGAAUCAGAGUAAAGGGAAGUUCACAAAAUCAAAGCGGUAAAAUGGAUCUUUAUUUGGAAAGUACUCAUUAACUCAGCAAAGCCUAGCUGUAAGAAUUAGAUCUGUGAGGAAAAUCCUCCUGGCAAUGAAACCAGGGCUUUGAUUGCUACUAGUUCAUAAAAUAAAUAAUAAUGUCCACUUACAAUUCUAUAUUACCUUUCAAUUUACAAAGUGCUUUCUCAUACAUUAUUUUAUCUUUGCAACAUUCUUGUGAGGUAUUGAGACAUGAUUAUUCUUUCACGGGUUAAGAAAUUGAGACUCAGUGAGCAGACAGGAUUUCCUCAAGGCCACAGAGUUAUUAAGAAGCAGAAUCCAAACUGAGAUGUUGGUCUCCAGACACCCACUUCAGAGCUCUUGCUCUAUUGCCUCUAAAACACCUCUAAUUAGGAGACUGUCACAAUGGAUUAUCUGAAAAAGCACAUGAGAGUUGUAAAGCCCUGACCGUGUUUGACACAAAUGUUAUGCGUCACCAGCAUGACCAGACAGUCAUCAAAUCAAUCAAUAAUUGCUGGCAAGGUUCACUGCAAGGACCAAGGAAGGUGGUUGAAGAUGAAUGGUGGUGAGUUGCUGGUCAUUUGCUGACAAAAGUCAGCUUGCAGAAUUUAGUCUAAUAGAUGCUGAAAGCAAAAGGAGAGAAUUCAUCUAGCCCCAGAAGUGUCAGUGAGGAAAGACAAUCUACAAACCCUGAAUGAUCACAAACGCUGAGUUGAAAAAGAGAUUUCUCUUUAUUUCAGGAUGAAUAAAGAAAAAAAUUAAGGCUAUAAAUUAGUGCAGAAAUAGGAAAAAGGAACAUCACCUGGAAGACUUCAAAAGAGAUCAUUCUCUAGAAAUAAUUCUGUUUCACUCAAUGUUUAACUUUUAAAAUAUCAGUGAAAUCAUGAUUUCAAUCAAAUGGCAGUGUGAAACUUACAAACAAGCCUAAAUAGACUUAAAAGACCAGAAAUAAAAAGAAAAUUUUAUUUUAAAAACUAGUCAUUAAAAAUAAUUCUCCAGAGUUAACCUAUUGUAUGGUGCAUUCUUUUAAGAAAUAGAUAUUUGCCACACUAUAUAAACAAUUCCAGGAUGCAUAAAAGACACAAAUCCUCCUCAUUUAUUGAUCUUUUACAAAGCUGACAUAAUCUGACACUAAACCACACAAACCACACACACACACAACCACUGAUACUGAUACAGUUACUGACAAU
Molecule: long non-coding RNA, 1685 nt
Organism: Bubalus bubalis (water buffalo)
Lineage: Eukaryota; Metazoa; Chordata; Mammalia; Artiodactyla; Bovidae
Exons: 4
Source: RefSeq, a predicted model, not a curated record